Long non-coding RNA from Amphimedon queenslandica, 444 nucleotides. RefSeq lists it as uncharacterized. The record is from RefSeq and is a predicted model, not a curated record. NCBI's taxonomy places the organism in Eukaryota, Metazoa, Porifera, Demospongiae, Haplosclerida, Niphatidae. The transcript has 2 exons.
UAACACUCGUAGGUCUGAGGUAUUAGAGCAGGACUGUGAGAUGAGUUCUAUUCACAGUUUCUUGUCAAAGUUUCCCGAGGAAUUUGACGUCAAUGAACUAGUACAUAAUUCAGUUGAACUGUUCAAUAAAAUACCAGCACACAAGAUAGCAAGCACUGGGAAUAUAAGACUGAAUUCAAGGUUGAUUUCAUUUGGAUCAAUCGUGACCAGAGACACUUUGAGUGGUUCAUGGAGCUACUGAAUGAACUGGAAAUGGAACAGAAUGAAUAUGGAACACUAAUGGAUCGGUUCCUUGAUAUGCACAUGUACAUCACAUCAGCUUUACAAAGGACUGAUGUUAAAGCAUUAGGACUACAAAUGGCUCUUGAUCUGAUACACAAAGAAAAGAACAUUGAUCUUAUAACUGGACUGAAGACCAGGACACAGACUGGUAGACCUAACUGG